CGCAAUCUCAAAUACGCGCGAAAAUUUUGGAAUUAGUCUAGAUUUAUUUAGUUUUUUUCUUGAGGGCAUUGUUUAGAACUUUUGAAACAUUGGUUUAUGAAAUUACACUUGAUUUUCUAUAAUACAUCGGCUCAUUACAAUUUUACGUUCAUGUCUGUGAUGACAAACUUAUUGUAUAAAAGUAAUUAUUAAAAAACACAAUAUUCUAAUGCAUUUGAAAAAAAUCACUUACAUAGAAGUGCUUGUGGAUAAACUGUUUCAAAUCACCGGGAAUUUUUAUUUAGUUUUGAAAUUAUCUGCAAUGUAUGUUAAAAGCAACGAUUUGUACAAAUUAUUAAAGUAAUUCCGGGCAAAGCUGAGAAAGUAAAAUUUAUAUAUGAUUAUAAACGAUUUCAUGUGACGAGACUUAACAUAACAAGUAAUCUUUGUUAGAGGAGAAAUAAUUCCGCUCAUUAAUUAACAAUGUUAAAUAUUCCGUUUGAAGGAUUAAUUUUAACUUGAAAACCACUACUGGUUUUUGAGUCAUUACUUAUAUUAGAAAAAACAACGAAUGUUUCCUGUUUUUUCUUUCAGAAUAUUAGUCAGAUUAUUGUUUAAGUUACGUGUAACGAAGUAAAGAACAAAACGAUUUGCAUAAAACAAAUAAUUUUAUGUUUAUAGCAUAAUAUAAAGAAGUUUACUUUUAAUUAGUCGUUUUGUAAUUGUGGUUAGUGAUGCAUUGUCAUGAAUGUAAUAUUCAUACUUUCCCAGCAACUAAGGCCCAAAAUUAUAACGAUUUGCAAGUCAAAAUGUUAUUUCAUGUUUGCUAGCAUUGCAAGUGUGUGAAAUACGUGUACCGUUUUAUAGGAUUACUCAGUUAUUUUGCAUAUGUUGCUAUUUAAAUUCUCUUUUAGUAGUCCAGCCUUUUUUUUUCUAUAACCUAUUUUUAUUAUUGCUUUGUGAAUACUUCAGCCUUCGAUAUCUGGGUUGCCAGACGACAUUCGCAUGCCAAUGUUUUAUUUGCUAAAUAUUUGCCAUACAUCUUGUACUAUAUCUUACAAAAAAUUGUUUUUAGACUUUAGAGAACUUCUUUGGUUCUGUGAAUAGAUACAAGAUUAACAGUUCAAGUUACUAGACUAAACAAAUCGUAUGCUUAAUUUACGACAUUGAGACCAGAAAUUCGAAAAGAACCCAUUGAUUCAUCAGAAAUAAAUAGAAUAUUUAUUUGAUUGUGCCUUCAUUUAUUGAGUCGUUGAUUCAUUCAUGGCAAAUCUUCAGGUUUAAAAAAUGUUGCAAAUAAAUGAAGGCGAUAAAAUGCUCUUGGAUCAACACCGAUUACAGUUCUUUAUAUAACUGUGAUGAUGGCUUAUCACUUACAUUAUUACAGGUCAAGGUUAUUGGUCUCGAAAAAGUGCAUUGAUACUUUGUAAUACUUGGAUAUUCCUUUUGUAUGAUACAAUAUGCAUUAGGUCAUUUUAUACGUGUGUAAGUGAGGUAACAUCAGAACUGCAUGUGCUAUUCGCACUUUGUUACAGAAGGUCAGAACUGAAGUUGCUUCUCUUGGGUUGCAAGUACAUUUUAUCAGAUCAUCAUUAAUGGAUUCGUUCAUGGUGUAAAACACGUUGUCAUUUAUUAACUCGGAUUUUCCUUUCCUUAUGGUUGGAAAUGUAGCUUGAUAUCGAUCAACUACUUAUUGGGAGAAAAGUCCUUUUAAAAAAUGCCAAGAUUGAAUUUGCCAAAGAAACUCAAAGCGAAAACAUACCUCAUUUUCAUAACAAGAAUACGUACGUUAUAAACUUUAAAAUAUAUUUUAUUAAUUUAUUAUCCAUGAAUCAUUUAAACAAAUCAUUAAAGAUCGGCCUGGUGUGUUUGAUUUUCAUUUGUCUUGAUAAAUGUUAAAACAUUACAUUGCAUGUUGAAGAACCAAUGUUACAUUAUUAUUUCUUAUUUCGAGUGUGUGCUCACCAAGCAGUAAUUCUCAGCAGUAAGCUCUUAAAUUGAUUGUUUUGAUAUUAAAAUUGGAAAAGUUCCAAUUUCAAAGUUUCAAUGUACUUUUUAAUCCGGCAUCUUGGUGAUUGUUUUCUAUACUUAACAGCAAAUUUUUGCUAAAUCUGCGCUGUGUAAGCGAUUAUUUCGAAAUUCAGUCUCUAGAAGUAAGUUUUUUGGGACACAAUAAUAAAUGCACAACAAUAAUGGGUUGUGGAAAAUUUUUCACACUUACUUUAGAAAUCUUUUUGUAAAAUUUUUGAGUAUUUUUGAUCAGCAACAUGAAAACUGUCUCUGCGUUUGAAAUUGCGUCUUAAAAGUUUAUUUAAUGCUUUUUAGUUUUGGCAGAAUUUCAAUAUAGAGUUAUAAUUCACCUUCAAUAAUAAAAAUGACUGUGGAGCUGCAUAUUUCCUGUCAGUCAGAAAUAAUUGGAUUGGAAGGAAUAAUUGUUUCAAUGUAACAUGCGCACGUCAAUUUUAGUAAAGAUGUAUUUAAAAGUAAUGUUUAAAGAAAAAAUUUUCGGUCACUGAUUUUUCCUAAUAUUGUUGUUUAUUAUAUUUGACAUGUAUUAAUUAGCUAUUGAACCGCGACUGUUUUAUAUUAUAAUUUUGUUGUCAUUUUAUAAUUGGAAAUACUGAUCUAAGAUUGGUAGUCGUCGGUGGACGUCAAUGGGAUUUAAAAUAUUAAUAAAUCUUUUCUUAAUCUUA
Dendroctonus ponderosae (mountain pine beetle) is the source of this 2672-nucleotide long non-coding RNA. RefSeq lists it as uncharacterized. The record is from RefSeq and is a predicted model, not a curated record. The transcript has 3 exons. Lineage: Eukaryota; Metazoa; Arthropoda; Insecta; Coleoptera; Curculionidae.